UUAUCACACUAUCCAAACCUUUACUUCCCCGAGAAGAGGUGCCCGAAGCCUGCUGCCGAUACACUGGUAGCGAGCUUCGAGUGCCAAACUUAUAAAAACCAAAACCAGGUGCCAAAGCAG
RNAcentral lists this ribosomal RNA (120 nucleotides) under Skeletonema costatum. RNAcentral's name for it is "partial 18S ribosomal RNA". Lineage: Eukaryota; Bacillariophyta; Thalassiosirophyceae; Thalassiosirales; Thalassiosiraceae. The record is from RNAcentral.